Molecule: ribosomal RNA, 447 nt
Filed under: uncultured bacterium
Lineage: Bacteria
Description: partial 16S ribosomal RNA
Rfam family: Bacterial small subunit ribosomal RNA
Source: RNAcentral
AGCGAACGCUGGCGGCAGGCCUAAUACAUGCAAGUCGAACGAUCCUUCGGGAUAGUGGCGGACGGGUGAGUAACACGUGGGAACGUGCCCUUUGGUUCGGAAUAACUCAGGGAAACUUGAGCUAAUACCGGAUGUGCCCUUCGGGGGAAAGAUUUAUCGCCAUUGGAGCGGCCCGCGUCUGAUUAGCUAGUUGGUAGGGUAAAGGCCUACCAAGGCUACGAUCAGUGGCUGGUCUGAGAGGAUGAUCAGCCACACUGGGACUGAGACACGGCCCAGACUCCUACGGGAGGCAGCAGUAGGGAAUCUUGCGCAAUGGGCGAAAGCCUGACGCAGCCAUGCCGCGUGAAUGAUGAAGGUCUUAGGAUUGUAAAAUUCUUUCAGCGGGGACGAUAAUGACGGUACCCGCAGAAGAAGCCCCGGCUAACUUCGUGCCAGCCGCCGCGGUAA